RNAcentral lists this ribosomal RNA (253 nucleotides) under uncultured bacterium. Its description in RNAcentral is "partial 16S ribosomal RNA". It matches the Rfam family "Bacterial small subunit ribosomal RNA", at positions 524 to 776 of the family's 1533-position model. The record is from RNAcentral.
UACAGAGGUCUCAAGCGUUGUUCGGAUUCAUUGGGCGUAAAGGGUGCGUAGGCGGCGCGGUAAGUCGGGUGUGAAAUCUCGGGACUUAACUCCGAAACUGCAUUCGAUACUGCCGUGCUUGAGGACUGGAGAGGAGACUGGAAUUUACGGUGUAGCGGUGAAAUGCGUAGAUAUCGUAAGGAAGGCCAGUGGCGAAGGCGGGUCUCUGGACAGUUCCUGACGCUGAGGCACGAAGGUCAGGGGAGCAAACGGG